RNAcentral lists this long non-coding RNA (697 nucleotides) under Brachypodium distachyon (stiff brome). Its description in RNAcentral is "long non-coding RNA (BDIS_LNC002202)". Lineage: Eukaryota; Viridiplantae; Streptophyta; Magnoliopsida; Poales; Poaceae. The record is from RNAcentral.
GGCAGAGAAAUAAUUUUUUUUAAUUAAAUUAAUUGGCCGAGGCCAAUAAAACCUUGUUUUAGGGUUUAAUCCCUAUUUUUUGCUUUUUGUUUUUAAACCUAAUGCAGUAAUUUCAAUUGCUAAUGUUUUGGACCAGUUGAUCAUCCGAAUAAAAUCAACCCAAUCAUGUCACAUGUUUUGCAUUGGAUCAUAGCAUAUAUCUUCAUUUGAUUGUAUUGUAUGUUUAUGUAUGUAUUUGAUUUUGUUUUCUCGGAGAGCGAUCAGUGUGAUUGUAAAGAGUGCUUGAAUACCAACUGCUACCAAGGUAAGUUCACUUUGACCAUCAUCCUAUUAUUUUAUUAUGCACUAGUUUUAUUAGUUGCAUUGUUAGAAUUAUUAUUGUACCUAUGCUCGCUAUGAUUAUCCUAGUUGUAUAGGAUACCCUUGCCAUGUUCUUACCACCAAUUGCCAUCGUAGGUAGUCAAAUGCUAUGCUAUGUCAGUUUACGAGGGUGGUAUUAUUACAUUGUGAUAUUAUUGUCAUUAUGAAGUAAAGUAUGAUUUUCCUAGUGUAUGGCAAAACAAGAAUUCAAUGAACCGUCCUGGGUGGGCUGCUUUGAGUAUUUGAGAUGUAUGCGACGUCAGGUCCAUUUCUAUGGAUCCAUUUCUAUGAGUCGUCUCGCCAUUUCUAUGGGAGCGCCUGCGUCGCAAAUGUGGGA